This 1973-nucleotide long non-coding RNA is filed under the name Heterocephalus glaber (naked mole-rat). Its description in RNAcentral is "lncRNA (ENSHGLG00000036132.1)". Lineage: Eukaryota; Metazoa; Chordata; Mammalia; Rodentia; Bathyergidae. The record is from RNAcentral.
GGGAGCUUAUAGAUAUAUGAUAAAAGAAAUGAGGAGAAGAAAGAAGGCUAAUAUAAGGGAGGCACAUUCACAUCUUUUCUGGAAGAGAUGGCUAGAAUUUUCUUGGAAUUUGGGUGCCACAUCAUCACUUUUUUGGUUUUCUGGUUGUCAUGACACUCGCCAAUUACUAUGGCACUGAAGGGAGAGUUACUGAGCAUGCAGAUGGGAUUAUAGUGAAGUUAGACAUUCUCUGGCAGGCUCUCUGGCAAGCAUCUUAGACUCAGCCAAUUUUGGUGAGCCCACCAACCUCUGGCCCUCAGGGAUCCUGAUCUCAAAGUCAAGAUUAGGGCAAGAAACUCAGCUAGGUCAAGUAGGCAGAACAAGAUUCAGGCAGGGAACACUGGCACAGCUCUGCCCUGGAGGAGUCUCUGGAGGUGCCUGAGGGAGUUAGAAUUAGUUUCACAGAGCAGGAAAGUCUGUGGAGGAAAUCAAUUGGCAGCACCAAGGCAACCUGGAGAGGCUUCCAGUAGCUGGUACAUGGACUCAUCCAGAGUGAGUACUGGAGCCAACAUUUGCUGGAACUAGGCCAGUCACAGAACCAUAUACCCACUAGUCACAACCCAAAGAUGAAGCGGAAACUCAGGAUUUCUACUUAGCCUUACUUCGGCACAGAUGACAUUGCUAAGCAUAGUCAGAGAUGUUGAUCCCUAAGAAACAUCUCACACUCCAAAGUCUGCACGGUCCCUGCUUCUGGAAAAACCUGUCUACAAUACCUUCAUUUCAUCACUCCCAACUCCACUUGUGUCAACUGGAACAUGAACAAAGCUGCACUCAACCCCUCCACUGUUUGCAGGAGAUUCAAACCAGAGCCAGUAGGAAAGAGAACAAGUCUUCCUCAUUCCUAUUUUCCCUUCUAUGUGGAUGCAACCCCAGCAGCUAGAACACUCUUGGCUUUUCUCUCUCCACUCACUCCCUCCUCCCUGAAAGGGUAAAUGCGGAGGUGUGGCCCAGCUCGUUCCUUUUUUGGAGAGGAGUUGCACACAGAAACCACAUGUUCUUCCUCAUACCCAGUGGCUGUCAGUUUUCCAGAGACAACCCGUGAUUGAGAGAGUCCUUCAGUGGCCAGUGCUGAACUGGCUGAGUGUCCAAUUCUGUGGCUUAGUUUUGAGAAGCCCAUCUGCCUGCAGACAUAAGUCACAUUCCCAAUGUCUGGUUUAUCAGUAGGAAAAGAUGUCAUGUUCACCACCAGCUGCUGACAUUCAUUCUAUGUCAUACGGUUUAAGGACUCAGACAAGAAAGAAGAUAAUCAUUAGUGAAAUUCUACCAAACCCCCUUACCUCCACAGAAAGCUCCAGCUCUGUGGCAAGGUCAGUGCGGGGUAGAACCCAGCAAGGGCAGCGAGCAUGCUGGGCUAGGAAGUGCCCUGCUUAGAUGUCCUACCCAGACACAAGCUGCAGGGAGCAUAGCUGACUAGCAACCUUGGAGUUUCCCCUCUGUAUCUACCCAGACACUGUCACUGUCACUGUCAGUAGGACCAGGUUUUCUCCCAUCAGACAACACAGUGUAGCAGGAAUGCUAAGGCCAGGCCAGUCCUGCCUGUGCAGGUUUCAUUCAACAGGCAGCUUUGUCUAAAGGAUUCCCCACCAGCCUGGUCCCCAUUUUCUUGGACCACAUUGCAGCCCAAGCCUCUCUCUUCUUACUCAAAACUGUCUCUCUUCUUCCACCCAUGUUAGAUCAGCAUGGUGGUCUGAAGGCUCUUCCUGCCUACAACUGCUCAUUUCUCCCUCACAGUACAGUAUAAGGCAUCUCCCCAUAUCAUGAUGUCUAAUUCAUCUGGUGUCCCAUUCUUGAAGAUUCUGGACUGGCAGAGAAUGUAACUUCCCAAAGCAGAACAAUGGAGGAGCAUCAGGGCUGUGUUGAUCCUAGCUUUUUGAUGCUAGAAUCCUGCUUUGGGUGGCCCAUUUGUAAGGCAAUUCCAGAAAUCUGGGCACUCA